UACGUAGGGUGCGAGCGUUAAUCGGAAUUACUGGGCGUAAAGCGUGCGCAGGCGGUUUUGUAAGACAGGUGUGAAAACCCCGGGCUUAACCUGGGAACUGCAUUUGUGACUACAAGACUAGAGUGUGGCAGAGGGGGGUGGAAUUCCGCGUGUAGCAGUGAAAUGCGUAGAGAUGUGGAGGAACACCGAUGGCGAAGGCAGCCCCCUGGGUCAACACUGACGCUCAGGCACGAAAGCAUGGGGAGCAAACAGG
RNAcentral lists this unclassified non-coding RNA (253 nucleotides) under uncultured Gammaproteobacteria bacterium. RNAcentral's name for it is "contains 16S-23S intergenic spacer region". It matches the Rfam family "Bacterial small subunit ribosomal RNA", at positions 524 to 776 of the family's 1533-position model. Lineage: Bacteria; Pseudomonadati; Pseudomonadota; Gammaproteobacteria. The record is from RNAcentral.